GAUGAAGAACGUAGCGAAAUGCGAUAAGUAAUGUGAAUUGCAGAAUUCAGUGAAUCAUCGAAUCUUUGAACGCACCUUGCGCCUUUUGGUAUUCCGAAAGGCACACCUGUUUGAGCGUCAUGAAUACCUCAAUCUCCAUCUUUUCUUCGGAUUGAUGGGUGACUUGGAUGUUGAGCCCUGCUGGUAUGCUAUAUCAGCUGGCUUUAAACUUAUUAGCCGGCUCUGUACUGGAUCGGUUUGACUCGACGUGAUAAUAUUAUCGUUGAGGAUGCAUGUCUCAUGCAGCCGGAAAGUAUCAAAGCAGCUUCUAGCUUGCCUUUAGUGCACUUUUACAUUUUAGACCUCAGAACAGGUGGGACUACCCGCUGAACUUAAGCAUAUCAAUAAGCGGAGGA
RNAcentral lists this unclassified non-coding RNA (395 nucleotides) under soil metagenome. Its description in RNAcentral is "partial contains 5.8S ribosomal RNA, internal transcribed spacer 2, and large subunit ribosomal RNA". The stretch from base 1 to 120 matches the Rfam family "5.8S ribosomal RNA", at positions 35 to 154 of the family's 154-position model. The record is from RNAcentral.